UACGAGGGGGGCAAGCGUUGUUCGGAAUUACUGGGCGUAAAGCGCACGUAGGCGGCUUUGUAAGUUAGAGGUGAAAGCCCAGGGCUCAACCCUGGAAUUGCCUUUAAGACUGCAUCGCUAGAAUUGUGGAGAGGUAAGUGGAAUUCCGAGUGUAGAGGUGAAAUUCGUAGAUAUUCGGAAGAACACCAGUGGCGAAGGCGACUUACUGGACACAUAUUGACGCUGAGGUGCGAAAGCGUGGGGAGCAAACAGG
This 253-nucleotide ribosomal RNA is filed under the name uncultured bacterium. Its description in RNAcentral is "partial 16S ribosomal RNA". It matches the Rfam family "Bacterial small subunit ribosomal RNA", at positions 524 to 776 of the family's 1533-position model. The record is from RNAcentral.